GGUUCACCUGGUCCUGGGCCUUUAAAAGCUGCCUGCAGGAGUGACGAGACAUGUGGAGCCAGGGACUGCUGCCUCUUCAGGACCUUUUAUAGAUGAUCUACACCCACCGUUACAACCCUCUGCUCCAGUUCUUCUACCUUGGCCGUGGUUUCCUCCUGCUCCGUGGUUCUUCUGUCGAGUUGUUCUGAAAAUCAAAAGAUGAAUGUUGAAAUAUCUGACGAAAUGUGAGUUUCUGUUUCAAACAACACCAGAACAUCUUCUUACCCUGAAGGGUUUCCAUGGAGUGGGUGAGCUCGGCACAGUGUUUCUCUCUCUCGCUGCUCUCGUCUCUCAGCCGAGUCAGCCGAGUCUCUACAGACCGCAUCGUGUCCACGAACGCAGAGAGGUCAGCGGGGACGGACUCUUCCUCUGCAGCCUCAACAUCUUCCUCAGUUAGAGAUCGAAGCUGUUUCCAGACACCAGCCAACAUUUCGCUCUUCUUCAGGGCGUCUUCGUGUUCCUCUCUGAGUGAAGCCAACUCUCGCUGGAGUUUAUCUGACUCUGGCGUCUCCUGGCCGGCGCUGUCGCCUGCCUCUCUCAUGGAUGUGAGUUCACUUUCAAGCCGAACUAUUUCCGCUCUGUCUCUCUCUGAAGCAUCACCGCUCGCAAGCUCAGCCUCCUUCAUCAGACCCAGAUCUCUCUCCAACCUGGCAACUUCCAUCUUUUCCUUCUCCAGAACGUCCAUACUCACGAGCUCCGCCUCCCUCAGUGACACCACUUCGCCCUGCAGCCUCGCCACCUCCAUGUUUGUUCUGUCCAAAGCCUCCAGGCUGCUUCGGAGGUCUGCAUCGGUUCUGCUCGCCCGUUCGGCCCACUGCUGCCUCUCCUCCUCCCUCUGCUUGAAGGCCUCAGAAAGCUCCUGCUCCAUCUGCCGGAACUGAGCUGUCAGUAUCUGAGAAGAGAGAGAGAGAGAGAAGGAGGAUGUGAGCGGGGUGUGUGCUGUGUGGCUCAGCCAAACAAGGCCUUAAGAUGACGUGCCGUGGAGCUGUGGGGUGUGUCUGUUUGAGGAGUUUUGUAUUCAUCAAGCCAGAGAGGUAUUCAAGACAUCAUCUGUAAAUAUCUGCCGGUAUCUGAAGCAGUCUCUGAGCACACAUACAUUCAGUCUCUGAACAAACAGUGUUUAAGAGCAACAGGAUCUGUACCUGUUUCUGCUGAUCAGCACUGCUCACUUCUUCCUGCAGCAUCUCCAGAACCUGAGCUCGAGAGUUUAGUGCCUCUUUGAGCUCCUCGCAUUGCCGCUGUGAUGCAUGAAGAGCCUGGAGAAGGAGAGACAGAGGGCAUGAGACCACAAAAGAGGCAAAUCCCAGGAGUGCAUGCCUGGGUGUAACCUGACAUUCGACUUAGUUGAAUCCUGUGUACCAGUUAGACGAGACCUGCUUGUGUUACACGUGGGUGUAACUUGUUACUUUUACACCGAGGAAGGAGCAGACAGUGAACACAUCACAACACAACCUCAUGUCACCUGUUUAUCUAGCUAAUGGGCUUUUAUCCUGCAGGUUUCAUCACAGAUUACAACACUAGGUUGAUUUUAACUAUCAGGACUUGCUACAAAGUUUGGGUGGGGCUACACGGCUGCUUUGAGGAAGAGGAAGAUGAUGCAUAACUCUGAUCACUGCAAAAACCCAAAACUAAGCAAGUGUUUCAUCAGACUUAAUCUAAGCCACAUUUUCUUUGCACAUACAGACUCAAAAUUCUAAUUUGAAGUCUGGAGUCCAGAUCUUCUUACACUGGCACAAACUGGAGUUAUUUAUUGAAACGUAUUUAAUCGUUUUUAUUGGUUGUUUGUUUUCUGAUAUGCCUUAAACAUGGAAUCUAGACCAUAAAGAAGUCUGCUAUGUGUUCUUUAAUGUUACAUCUGUUUUGUAAUUCUGUAUGUCAUGAUCUGAUAUCUCACUGGCAGCAAAACAAAUUUACCUACGGGUACAAAUAAAGCAACCUGAACCAGAAA
Molecule: long non-coding RNA, 1987 nt
Organism: Notolabrus celidotus (New Zealand spotty)
Lineage: Eukaryota; Metazoa; Chordata; Actinopteri; Labriformes; Labridae
Exons: 2
Source: RefSeq, a predicted model, not a curated record